UACGUAGGGUGCAAGCGUUGUCCGGAAUUAUUGGGCGUAAAGAGCUCGUAGGCGGUCUGUUGCGUCGGCUGUGAAAACCCGGGGCUCAACUCCGGGCCUGCAGCCGAUACGGGCAGACUAGAGUUCGGCAGGGGAGACUGGAAUUCCUGGUGUAGCGGUGAAAUGCGCAGAUAUCAGGAGGAACACCGAUGGCGGAGGCAGGUCUCUGGGCCAUAACUGACGCUGAGAAGCGAAAGCAUGGGGAGCGAACAGG
RNAcentral lists this ribosomal RNA (253 nucleotides) under uncultured bacterium. RNAcentral's name for it is "partial 16S ribosomal RNA". It matches the Rfam family "Bacterial small subunit ribosomal RNA", at positions 524 to 776 of the family's 1533-position model. The record is from RNAcentral.